CUACGUGCCAGCAGCCGCGGUAAUACGUAGGGCGCGAGCGUUGUCCGGAAUUAUUGGGCGUAAAGAGCUUGUAGGCGGUUUGUCGCGUCUGCUGUGAAAGGCCGGAGCUUAACUCCGUGUAUUGCAGUGGGUACGGGCAGACUAGAGUGCAGUAGGGGAGACUGGAAUUCCUGGUGUAGCGGUGGAAUGCGCAGAUAUCAGGAGGAACACCGAUGGCGAAGGCAGGUCUCUGGGCUGUAACUGACGCUGAGAAGCGAAAGCAUGGGGAGCGAACAGGAUUAGAUACCCUGGUAGUCCAUGCCGUAAACGUUGGGCACUAGGUGUGGGGSACAUUCCACGUUUUCCGCGCCGUAGCUAACGCAUUAAGUGCCCCGCCUGGGGAGUACGGCCGCAAGGCUAAAACUCAAAGAAAUUGACGGGGGCCCGCACAAGCGGCGGAGCAUGCGGAUUAAUUCGAUGCAACGCGAAGAACCUUACCAAGGCUU
This 485-nucleotide ribosomal RNA is filed under the name uncultured bacterium. RNAcentral describes it as "bacterial SSU rRNA". It matches the Rfam family "Bacterial small subunit ribosomal RNA", at positions 501 to 982 of the family's 1533-position model. The record is from RNAcentral.